RNAcentral lists this ribosomal RNA (253 nucleotides) under uncultured bacterium. Its description in RNAcentral is "partial 16S ribosomal RNA". It matches the Rfam family "Bacterial small subunit ribosomal RNA", at positions 524 to 776 of the family's 1533-position model. The record is from RNAcentral.
UACAGAGGGGGCGAGCGUUGUUCGGAAUUACUGGGCGUAAAGGGCGCGUAGGCGGCCAACUAAGUCAGACGUGAAAUCCCUCGGCUCAACCGGGGAACUGCGUCUGAUACUGGAUGGCUUGAAUUCGGGAGAGGGAUGCGGAAUUCCAGGUGUAGCGGUGAAACGCGUAGAUAUCUGGAGGAACACCGGUGGCGAAGGCGGCAUCCUGGACCGAGAUUGACGCUGAUGCGCGAAAGCCAGGGGAGCAAACGGG